Molecule: ribosomal RNA, 2905 nt
Filed under: Escherichia coli
Lineage: Bacteria; Pseudomonadati; Pseudomonadota; Gammaproteobacteria; Enterobacterales; Enterobacteriaceae
Description: 23S ribosomal RNA
Rfam family: Bacterial large subunit ribosomal RNA
Source: RNAcentral
GGUUAAGCGACUAAGCGUACACGGUGGAUGCCCUGGCAGUCAGAGGCGAUGAAGGACGUGCUAAUCUGCGAUAAGCGUCGGUAAGGUGAUAUGAACCGUUAUAACCGGCGAUUUCCGAAUGGGGAAACCCAGUGUGAUUCGUCACACUAUCAUUAACUGAAUCCAUAGGUUAAUGAGGCGAACCGGGGGAACUGAAACAUCUAAGUACCCCGAGGAAAAGAAAUCAACCGAGAUUCCCCCAGUAGCGGCGAGCGAACGGGGAGGAGCCCAGAGCCUGAAUCAGUGUGUGUGUUAGUGGAAGCGUCUGGAAAGGCGCGCGAUACAGGGUGACAGCCCCGUACACAAAAAUGCACAUACUGUGAGCUCGAUGAGUAGGGCGGGACACGUGGUAUCCUGUCUGAAUAUGGGGGGACCAUCCUCCAAGGCUAAAUACUCCUGACUGACCGAUAGUGAACCAGUACCGUGAGGGAAAGGCGAAAAGAACCCCGGCGAGGGGAGUGAAAAAGAACCUGAAACCGUGUACGUACAAGCAGUGGGAGCCUCUUUUAUGGGGUGACUGCGUACCUUUUGUAUAAUGGGUCAGCGACUUAUAUUCUGUAGCAAGGUUAACCGAAUAGGGGAGCCGAAGGGAAACCGAGUCUUAACUGGGCGUUAAGUUGCAGGGUAUAGACCCGAAACCCGGUGAUCUAGCCAUGGGCAGGUUGAAGGUUGGGUAACACUAACUGGAGGACCGAACCGACUAAUGUUGAAAAAUUAGCGGAUGACUUGUGGCUGGGGGUGAAAGGCCAAUCAAACCGGGAGAUAGCUGGUUCUCCCCGAAAGCUAUUUAGGUAGCGCCUCGUGAAUUCAUCUCCGGGGGUAGAGCACUGUUUCGGCAAGGGGGUCAUCCCGACUUACCAACCCGAUGCAAACUGCGAAUACCGGAGAAUGUUAUCACGGGAGACACACGGCGGGUGCUAACGUCCGUCGUGAAGAGGGAAACAACCCAGACCGCCAGCUAAGGUCCCAAAGUCAUGGUUAAGUGGGAAACGAUGUGGGAAGGCCCAGACAGCCAGGAUGUUGGCUUAGAAGCAGCCAUCAUUUAAAGAAAGCGUAAUAGCUCACUGGUCGAGUCGGCCUGCGCGGAAGAUGUAACGGGGCUAAACCAUGCACCGAAGCUGCGGCAGCGACACUAUGUGUUGUUGGGUAGGGGAGCGUUCUGUAAGCCUGUGAAGGUGUACUGUGAGGUAUGCUGGAGGUAUCAGAAGUGCGAAUGCUGACAUAAGUAACGAUAAAGCGGGUGAAAAGCCCGCUCGCCGGAAGACCAAGGGUUCCUGUCCAACGUUAAUCGGGGCAGGGUGAGUCGACCCCUAAGGCGAGGCCGAAAGGCGUAGUCGAUGGGAAACAGGUUAAUAUUCCUGUACUUGGUGUUACUGCGAAGGGGGGACGGAGAAGGCUAUGUUGGCCGGGCGACGGUUGUCCCGGUUUAAGCGUGUAGGCUGGUUUUCCAGGCAAAUCCGGAAAAUCAAGGCUGAGGCGUGAUGACGAGGCACUACGGUGCUGAAGCAACAAAUGCCCUGCUUCCAGGAAAAGCCUCUAAGCAUCAGGUAACAUUAAAUCGUACCCCAAACCGACACAGGUGGUCAGGUAGAGAAUACCAAGGCGCUUGAGAGAACUCGGGUGAAGGAACUAGGCAAAAUGGUGCCGUAACUUCGGGAGAAGGCACGCUGAUAUGUAGGUGAAGCGACUUGCUCGUGGAGCUGAAAUCAGUCGAAGAUACCAGCUGGCUGCAACUGUUUAUUAAAAACACAGCACUGUGCAAACACGAAAGUGGACGUAUACGGUGUGACGCCUGCCCGGUGCCGGAAGGUUAAUUGAUGGGGUUAGCGGUAACGCGAAGCUCUUGAUCGAAGCCCCGGUAAACGGCGGCCGUAACUAUAACGGUCCUAAGGUAGCGAAAUUCCUUGUCGGGUAAGUUCCGACCUGCACGAAUGGCGUAAUGAUGGCCAGGCUGUCUCCACCCGAGACUCAGUGAAAUUGAACUCGCUGUGAAGAUGCAGUGUACCCGCGGCAAGACGGAAAGACCCCGUGAACCUUUACUAUAGCUUGACACUGAACAUUGAGCCUUGAUGUGUAGGAUAGGUGGGAGGCUUUGAAGUGUGGACGCCAGUCUGCAUGGAGCCGGCCUUGAAAUACCACCCUUUAAUGUUUGAUGUUCUAACGUUGGCCCCUGACCGGGGUUGCGGACAGUGUCUGGUGGGUAGUUUGACUGGGGCGGUCUCCUCCUAAAGAGUAACGGAGGAGCACGAAGGUUGGCUAAUCCUGGUCGGACAUCAGGAGGUUAGUGCAAUGGCAUAAGCCAGCUUGACUGCGAGCGUGACGGCGCGAGCAGGUGCGAAAGCAGGUCAUAGUGAUCCGGUGGUUCUGAAUGGAAGGGCCAUCGCUCAACGGAUAAAAGGUACUCCGGGGAUAACAGGCUGAUACCGCCCAAGAGUUCAUAUCGACGGCGGUGUUUGGCACCUCGAUGUCGGCUCAUCACAUCCUGGGGCUGAAGUAGGUCCCAAGGGUAUGGCUGUUCGCCAUUUAAAGUGGUACGCGAGCUGGGUUUAGAACGUCGUGAGACAGUUCGGUCCCUAUCUGCCGUGGGCGCUGGAGAACUGAGGGGGGCUGCUCCUAGUACGAGAGGACCGGAGUGGACGCAUCACUGGUGUUCGGGUUGUCAUGCCAAUGGCACUGCCCGGUAGCUAAAUGCGGAAGAGAUAAGUGCUGAAAGCAUCUAAGCACGAAACUUGCCCCGAGAUGAGUUCUCCCUGACUCCUUGAGAGUCCUGAAGGAACGUUGAAGACGACGACGUUGAUAGGCCGGGUGUGUAAGCGCAGCGAUGCGUUGAGCUAACCGGUACUAAUGAACCGUGAGGCUUAACCUU